Molecule: ribosomal RNA, 440 nt
Filed under: uncultured bacterium
Lineage: Bacteria
Description: partial 16S ribosomal RNA
Rfam family: Bacterial small subunit ribosomal RNA
Source: RNAcentral
CCUACGGGGGGCUGCAGUGGGGGAUAUUGCACAAUGGGGGAAACCCUGAUGCAGCGACGCCGCGUGGGUGAAGAAGCGCCUCGGCGCGUAAAGCCCUGUCAGCAGGGAAGAAAAUGACGGUACCUGAAGAAGAAGCCCCGGCUAACUACGUGCCAGCAGCCGCGGUAAUACGUAGGGGGCAAGCGUUAUCCGGAUUUACUGGGUGUAAAGGGGGCGCAGACGGCGAUGCAAGCCAGGAGUGAAAGCCCGGGGCUCAACCCCGGGACUGCUCUUGGAACGGCGUGGCUGGAGUGCAGGAGGGGGAGGGGGAAUUCCUGGUGUAGCGGUGAAAUGCGGAGAUAUCAGGAGGAACACCGGUGGCGAAGGCGGCGUGCUGGACUGCAACUGACGUUGAGGCACGAAAGCGUGGGGAGCAAACAGGAUUAGAUACCCUGGUAGUC